AGAGUUUGAUCCUGGCUCAGCGCGAACGCUGGCGGCAUGCCUAACACAUGCAAGUCGAACGGAAAAAGGGGCAACUCACUUUCAGUGGCAAACGGGUGAGUAACGCGUGAAUAACCUGCCUUUGAGAAGGGGAUAACUGUCCGAAAGGAUAGCUAAUACCCUAUAAUGUCCUUUGUCACAAAGGCAAAGGAUGAAAGCGAGGCUGUCAAAGGCUUCGGCUCAAAGAGGGGUUCGCGUCCUAUCAGGUAGUUGGUGGGGUAAUGGCCUACCAAGCCAAUGACGGGUAGCUGGUCUUAGAGGAUGAUCAGCCACAGUGGGACUGAGACACGGCCCGCACCCCUACGGGGGGCAGCAGUGGGGAAUCGUGGGCAAUGGACGAAAGUCUGACCCCGCAAUGCCGCGUGAGGGAAGAAGCCCUUCGGGGUGUAAACCUCUGUCAGAUGGGAAGAUGGGACCAAGAGCUAAUACCUCUUGGUCUUGACGGUACCAUCAGAGGAAGGGACGGCUAACUACGUGCCAGCAGCCGCGGUAAUACGUAGGUCCCGAGCGUUGCGCGAUGUUACUGGGCGUAAAGCGUCCGUAGCUGGUUUCGUAAGCGGAUUGUCCAAAACCCGAAGCUCAACUUCGGCAAGGCAUUCCCGAACUGCGUUACUUGAGUCCUGUUCAGGUAGGCGGAAUUCCCCGGUGUAGCGGUGACAUGCGUAGAUAUCGGGAGGAACACCAGUGGCGAAGGCGGCCUACUGGGACGGUACUGACGGUCAUGGACGAAAGCUGGGUGAGCAAACCGGAUUAGAUACCCCGGGUAGUCCCAGCCGUAAACGAUGGAUGUUAGGUGUAGUGAUAACUUCGCUGCACCCCAGCUAACGCGUUAAACAUCCCGCCUGGGGAGUACGGGCGCAAGCCUGAAACUCAAAGGAAUUGGCGGGGGCCCGCACAACCGGUGGAGCGUCUGGUUUAAUUCGAUGCUAACCGAAAAACCUUACCAG
RNAcentral lists this ribosomal RNA (986 nucleotides) under uncultured bacterium. RNAcentral describes it as "bacterial SSU rRNA". It matches the Rfam family "Bacterial small subunit ribosomal RNA", at positions 8 to 977 of the family's 1533-position model. The record is from RNAcentral.